Molecule: ribosomal RNA, 235 nt
Filed under: uncultured bacterium
Lineage: Bacteria
Description: partial 16S ribosomal RNA
Rfam family: Bacterial small subunit ribosomal RNA
Source: RNAcentral
UACGUAGGGGGCAAGCGUUGUCCGGAUUUAUUGGGCGUAAAGCGCGUGUAGGCGGCCAGGUAGGUCCGUUGUGAAAACUCGAGGCUCAACCUCGAGACGUCGACGGAAACCAUCUGGCUAGAGUCCGGAAGAGGAGAGUGGAAUUCCUGGUGUAGCGGUGAAAUGCGCAGAUGUCAGGAAGAACACCCGUGGCGAAGGCGGCUCUCUGGGACGGUACUGACGCUGAGACGCGAAA